UUACCGAUAAUGACGUCAUUGCU
RNAcentral lists this microRNA (23 nucleotides) under Pristionchus pacificus. RNAcentral's name for it is "ppc-miR-8282b-5p". The record is from miRBase by way of RNAcentral. Lineage: Eukaryota; Metazoa; Nematoda; Chromadorea; Rhabditida; Neodiplogasteridae.